UACGUAGGUGGCAAGCGUUGUUCGGAAUUAUUGGGCGUAAAGGGCGCGUAGGCGGUUUGUUAAGUCAGCUGUGAAAACCCGGGGCUCAACUCCGGGCCUGCAGCCGAUACGGGCAGACUAGAGUUCGGCAGGGGAGACUGGAAUUCCUGGUGUAGCGGUGAAAUGCGCAGAUAUCAGGAGGAACACCGGUGGCGAAGGCGGGUCUCUGGGCCGAUACUGACGCUGAGGAGCGAAAGCGUGGGGAGCGAACAGG
Molecule: ribosomal RNA, 253 nt
Filed under: uncultured bacterium
Lineage: Bacteria
Description: partial 16S ribosomal RNA
Rfam family: Bacterial small subunit ribosomal RNA
Source: RNAcentral